Molecule: long non-coding RNA, 399 nt
Filed under: Trifolium pratense (red clover)
Lineage: Eukaryota; Viridiplantae; Streptophyta; Magnoliopsida; Fabales; Fabaceae
Description: long non-coding RNA (TPRA_LNC010723)
Source: RNAcentral
AAUUCCUCACGUAUGUUUGAAUUACAUGUGCCAUACAACUAACCCUUGACUCCCCUUUCUCAAUUAUUCUCUAUAUAAUAAUAAUUUUUCUUCUAUAGUUCCUAUAAUUCAAACAUUUAUGUUGUUUUCAACAUUUCUACUAUAGAGUUCAAAAGUUCUAUAUAGGUAGCCAACACCUUAAAGCAAAACACCAACUGAAAAAAAUACACCAAACUACUUUCUUCUCUUCUCUUUUCCAUUUGUUUGUGUUUGGUGUGAAGGGCACACACUAACCAUCCAAGAGAGAAACAGAAAGGUAGUUUUUUGUUCACUAGUAGAACAUCAUGCAUAUAGAAGCCCCAGAAAAUUAUGGCCCCGAAGACAAAAACUUCGACGAUGAUGGACGAGCCAAGAGAACCG